RNA transcript from Cucurbita maxima (winter squash), 1712 nucleotides. It is a transcript of the gene named zinc finger protein ZOP1, with no coding region annotated. The record is from RefSeq and is a predicted model, not a curated record. The transcript is spliced from 7 exons. Lineage: Eukaryota; Viridiplantae; Streptophyta; Magnoliopsida; Cucurbitales; Cucurbitaceae.
AAUUGCAAAUUCACAUCUCAUCCGUCCCGCCGCCGGGUUGAUGCUAGAACAGAACUCAUCGACGACCCGCUUCUUUACGAACCCGAAUGUUCUUGAUCCCCAAAAAUCAACGGAUCUACACUUCGAGCGGGAGAUUUAGGGUUUAAGAUUUCAUUCAUACAAUCUCCCGGAAUCAAUUUCUUCGAAUUCGAAACAUAUUUCCGCUACACGCUUGAUAAUUGGCUCAAUCUUUGCGUUCAGUACAGCUUCCAGUGUGCACUGCUCACAGAUUUUGAUAUUCUGCGAGGCGCUGAAACAUGACUGAGUAUUGGGUUAGCCAAGGUAACAAAUGGUGCGACUUCUGCAAAAUAUUUAUUUCAAAUAAUCCUUCCACAAUCCGGAAUCAUGAGCUCGGAGAACGUCAUAAGGACAAUGUUGCCAAAAGGCUUGCAAACAUGAGAAAAGAGAAUGCUGCCAAGGACAAGGAACAAAAGGAAGCAGUACGCGCGGUUGAGCAAAUUGAGGCAAAAGCUAAGCGUAGUUAUCAGAAGGACAUAGCAAAUUUCCGGGAAGCUAGAGAUUCUCAUGCACUUCCUGUUGAUGUUCAAGAAAAUGAAGAGAAAUGGGAGCUUGACAGCACUACAGGCUAUUAUUACAAUGAAAGCAAUGGUUUUUACUAUGACUCAAAUUCCGGCUUCUACUACUCUGAUGCUAUUGGCAAGUGGGUAACACAGGAAGAGGCACAUGCUUCGCCUCAGUUUUUCUUGAACUCCAAACAUAAGAAACCAGUUUUAGAGAACCCAUCGUCGGCCUCUGCAAGUGCAGCUACAAAAGACAAAAAUGUGGAUAAAGGGGAAAGCGGGCCUCCGCCUGGGUUGGUUGUUUCAGCUUCUUCAAAACCCAAGCGAUCGGUUAAAGGUGCUCCUUCAUCGAUUGCUGUUGGUAAGAGGAAGAGGCCAAAUGAGAAGCAAAAGGUCAUAUCUGAAGAAGAAAAGGCUGCACUUAAAGCAAGGGAGGCUGCAAAGAAGAGAGUUGAACAGAGGGAGAAGCCACUUCUCGGCCUUUACAAAUUGCCUUGAAAUAGGCCGUUGUCUCAAAUUACUUAACAUGAGCUGGAAGAGCAUUACUGUAUGGAACUUCCCAAAGCUUUACAAGUUCCUCUAUCACCUUGUUCUUCUUAUAUAUUGCUGCUUUAUUGUGGGGUUUACAUGCAUUCAUUCGUCACCAGGAAUAUGAUAUAGUCUGUCUAAGAUUUGCUCCAUCCAUGUAUAUGCUUGGUUUUCUGAAACUAUGAGAAUCAUUUGAGGGAAGAAAAUCCAUGGUCAAUCAAUUUGCAGGCAUGAAACGAUCUUGCUUUCUCGAUUGAGCAGAAUCGUGUACUGUCGAAAGCACAUGGACGUGAAGAAAUCUCCCUAGUAUCGGCUAUGGCGGUAUCUUCUGUUCAGAAACCAAGGGCUUAUACAAGGAUAAUUGAGAGCAUGAAAUCCUAGAUGAACUAACUUUUUGUCAGCUCAUCCAUCACAAAAGGACUUCAACUGGUUUGUGCCGACUUGUUAUAUACAGUAAUGUUAGUCAUCAACCAACCCCUUGUUUUAUAUUCUGCAUUUUCAUGUCCUUGACAUUCAAACUCCUUGCCUUGAAUCUUAAAGCUUUGCAUUUGUGUUGUAAUUUUCUAGUUCAUUCAUACUAAUCCUCAUUCUGGUAGCAAUGGUUGAUCAAGUAGUUGAGAUUAA